CCCCCACAUGCCUGUCUUCAGGCUUUAGAGAUCCUCAACUCCCUGCUCCUGGUGGUUCAUCUCCGCAGCCACCCCGCCCCGAUUCUGCACUGUUUGGAGCAAAUCCCAGACAUGCCAUUGCAUCUGUAAAGAUUUCAGUCUAAAACACAGAGAUUCUUUUUAAGAAAACAUAAUCAAAGUCCUUUCUUGGUCCAACUAACAUUAAUUUCUUCUACGGACAAUUUUGUGUUUCUCUUUUGUGCCAGAUGCUUUGCUAAAAGGAUUUGCAUGUUAUCUCCAUCAUGCAAAGAGAGAGUACCUACUAGCUAUGGUAAUGGACAGUGACAGAAAGGUCUACUAAACAUCCAGAGUCUUCCCAGUUAAAUGUCUGAAGCCAUCCACCAUUACUAAACAGAUACACAGAAGGUGCUGAGUCCAUGGCUUUUGAGGAAGAUGCCCACCUGGCACAGUCCACCUUCCAGUGACUGUACUCUUCCUCUACAUGACCCUGUCUACACCAAAUACAGAACUGCACAUAUGCAAAACUAAAAAUGAAAUGCAUUUUCACGGAGAAGAGGCUUGCAUAACAAAGCAGGUCUUUGCCCUACAAAACAAAAUGAAAAGACAUGGCCACUGAAGACUGACAGGAAAACGAUGCAGUGGAACGGUGGUUCUUAAACUGUGUUCCUGAGAACAAGAUUUUUUUUUUUUUUUUUUGAGACAGGGUCUCGCUCUGUCACCCAGGCUGGAGUGCAGUGGUGUGACUGCGUCUCAUUGCAGCCUUGACCUCCUAAGUGCAAGUGAUCCUUGUGCCUCAGCAUCCCUAGUAGCUGGGUGUGUAUGUGCCACCACGCCAAGCUAAUUUUUACAUUUUGUGUAGAGACAGGGUUUCACUAUACUGCUCAGGCUGGCCUCGAAUGCCUGGGCUCAAGUGAUCCUCCUGUCUUGGUCCCGCAAAGUGCUGCAAUUAUAGGUGUGAGCCACUGAGUCCAGCAAGAAUGUUUGAGAUGGUACAGGAGUCCUACCAAGGCAUCAAACAUUUUCCUUCAAAUAAUAAGAAUUUAAACUGCCUGAGGAAUCUGUUA
This 1064-nucleotide long non-coding RNA is filed under the name Homo sapiens (human). RNAcentral's name for it is "HSALNT0234386". The record is from RNAcentral. Lineage: Eukaryota; Metazoa; Chordata; Mammalia; Primates; Hominidae.